UGUUAGCGGCGGACGGGUGAGUAACACGUGGAUAACCUACCUAUAAGACUGGGAUAACUUCGGGAAACCGGAGCUAAUACCGGAUAAUAUUUUGAACCGCAUGGUUCAAAAGUGAAAGACGGUCUUGCUGUCACUUAUAGAUUGAUCCGCGUUGCAUUAGCUAGUUGGUAAGGUAACGGCUUACCAAGGCAACGAUGCGUAGCCGACCUGAGAGGGUGAUCGGCCACACUGGAACUGAGACACGGUCCAG
Molecule: ribosomal RNA, 250 nt
Filed under: uncultured Staphylococcus sp.
Lineage: Bacteria; Bacillati; Bacillota; Bacilli; Caryophanales; Staphylococcaceae
Description: partial 16S ribosomal RNA
Rfam family: Bacterial small subunit ribosomal RNA
Source: RNAcentral